UCUUUAGUACCGCAGCUAACGCGUGAAGUUGACCGCCUGGGGAGUACGGUCGCAAGAUUAAAACUCAAAGGAAUUGACGGGGACCCGCACAAGCGGUGGAUUAUGUGGAUUAAUUCGAUGCAACGCGAAAAACCUUACCUACCCUUGACAUGCCAGGAAGUUGCCAGAGAUGGCUUCGUGCCCGAAAGGGAACCUGGACACAGGUGCUGCAUGGCUGUCGUCAGCUCGUGUCGUGAGAUGUUGGGUUAAGUCCCGCAACGAGCGCAACCCUUGUCAUUAAUUGCCAUCAUUCAGUUGGGCACUUUAAUGAGACUGCCGGUGAUAAACCGGAGGAAGGUGGGGAUGACGUCAAGUCCUCAUGGCCCUUAUGGGUAGGGCUUCACACGUAAUACAAUGGUCGGUACAGAGGGUUGCCAACCCGCGAGGGGGAGCUAAUCUCAGAAAGCCGAUCGUAGUCCGGAUUGUAGUCUGCAACUCGACUACAUGAAGUCGGAAUCGCUAGUAAUCGCGGAUCAGCAUGUCGCGGUGAAUACGUUCCCGGGUCUUGUACACACCGCCCGUCACACCAUGGGAGUGGAAUCUGCCAGAAGUAGGUAGCCUAACCGCAAGGAGGGCGCUUACCACGGUGGGUUUCAUGACUGGGGUGAAGU
RNAcentral lists this ribosomal RNA (650 nucleotides) under uncultured bacterium. RNAcentral describes it as "bacterial SSU rRNA". It matches the Rfam family "Bacterial small subunit ribosomal RNA", at positions 837 to 1486 of the family's 1533-position model. The record is from RNAcentral.